UACGGAGGGUGCGAGCGUUAAUCGGAAUUACUGGGCGUAAAGGGCGCGUAGGUGGUUUGAUAAGUCGGAUGUGAAAGCCCCGGGCUUAACCUGGGAAUUGCAUUCGAUACUGUCAGGCUAGAGUAUGGGAGAGGGAAGCGGAAUUCCCGGUGUAGCGGUGAAAUGCGUAGAUAUCGGGAGGAACAUCAGUGGCGAAGGCGGCUUCCUGGACCAAUACUGACACUGAGGCGCGAAAGCGUGGGGAGCAAACAGG
RNAcentral lists this ribosomal RNA (253 nucleotides) under uncultured bacterium. RNAcentral's name for it is "partial 16S ribosomal RNA". It matches the Rfam family "Bacterial small subunit ribosomal RNA", at positions 524 to 776 of the family's 1533-position model. The record is from RNAcentral.